UACGUAGGGUGCGAGCGUUAAUCGGAAUUACUGGGCGUAAAGUGUGCGCAGGCGGCCGCGCAAGUCGAGUGUGAAAUCCCCGGGCUUAACCUGGGAACUGCGUUUGAAACUGAAAGGCUAGAGUGUGGCAGAGGGGGGUGGAAUUCCACGUGUAGCAGUGAAAUGCGUAGAGAUGUGGAGGAACACCGAUGGCGAAGGCAGCCCCCUGGGCUAACACUGACGCUCAUGCACGAAAGCGUGGGGAGCAAACGGG
Molecule: ribosomal RNA, 253 nt
Filed under: uncultured bacterium
Lineage: Bacteria
Description: partial 16S ribosomal RNA
Rfam family: Bacterial small subunit ribosomal RNA
Source: RNAcentral